Molecule: transfer-messenger RNA, 360 nt
Filed under: Campylobacteraceae
Lineage: Bacteria; Pseudomonadati; Campylobacterota; Epsilonproteobacteria; Campylobacterales
Also listed under: 2 other names
Description: Campylobacter_D sp016599045 Standard tmRNA
Rfam family: transfer-messenger RNA
About the family: Bacterial tmRNA, also known as 10Sa RNA or SsrA, is named for its dual tRNA and mRNA-like properties. Its role is to liberate the mRNA from a stalled ribosome.
Source: RNAcentral
GGGAGCGACUUGGCUUCGACAGGAGUAAGUUUGCAAAGAUGGCAUACCGCUUUGGGCAAAGCGUUAAAAGCCUAAAUAAAAUUAAACGCAAACAACGUAAAAUUUGCUCCUGCUUACGCUAAAGCUGCGUAAGUUCAGUUGAGCCCGAAUUUUAAACGAUACUAUCUAGUUUAAAAUUUGGUCAUUACAAGAUAGUGUAGUCUUUGAUUUGACGCAUCAAAGAUGAAAUAAAAGUCUUAGCCAAAUCUUAAAGUUUUGGAAGAUGAGCUUGAUUUGGUGAAUUCUUCAUCUUUACUAAGUAUGUAGAGGUCUUUGUGGAAUUAUUUUUGGACAGGGGUUCGAUUCCCCUCGCUUCCACCA